CCCCCUCCCUCGAGUGAACAGAAUCCUGGCCGAGCAUUCUGCCCCAUUCUCUUGAGAACGAGGACCUCCACCGAAACUCUCCGCCAAGCUAGCACCAUCCACAUCAUGAUCUCGAUCGUCUCCAGAGUGUCCUCCACCACCCAAGUGCUGCUCCUCUACCCUCUUCUGCAACCUAGCCUGCAUCUCCACCUCCCAAGCGUCGCUCUGCUACAUGAAAGCAAGCAUUGGCAAGGGCACCGCAACAAUCAAAGAGACUGAGGGAGCGGAAGGCGGUGGGCGAUGAAGCGAAGGUCGGGUAGGGCGAGCUAAAAGUGGAAGUUAGUGUCAUGCUCCCAAUCCAAAAUUUAUAUUAAAAUAAAUUUUUGGAGACACG
Molecule: long non-coding RNA, 373 nt
Filed under: Elaeis guineensis (African oil palm)
Lineage: Eukaryota; Viridiplantae; Streptophyta; Magnoliopsida; Arecales; Arecaceae
Description: long non-coding RNA (EGUI_LNC024054)
Source: RNAcentral